CCUACGGGAGGCAGCAGUGGGGAAUAUUGCACAAUGGGGGAAACCCUGAUGCAGCGACGCCGCGUGAGUGAAGAAGUAUUUCGGUAUGUAAAGCUCUAUCAGCAGGGAAGAAACAAGACGGUACCUGACUAAGAAGCCCCGGCUAACUACGUGCCAGCAGCCGCGGUAAUACGUAGGGGGCAAGCGUUAUCCGGAUUUACUGGGUGUAAAGGGAGCGUAGACGGUUUGGCAAGUCUGAAGUGAAAGCCCAGGGCUUAACCCUGGGACUGCUUUGGAAACUGUUAGACUGGAGUGCUGGAGAGGUAAGUGGAAUUCCUAGUGUAGCGGUGAAAUGCGUAGAUAUUAGGAGGAACACCAGUGGCGAAGGCGGCUUACUGGACAGUAACUGACGUUGAGGCUCGAAAGCGUGGGGAGCAAACAGGAUUAGAUACCCCAGUAGUC
RNAcentral lists this ribosomal RNA (441 nucleotides) under uncultured bacterium. RNAcentral's name for it is "partial 16S ribosomal RNA". It matches the Rfam family "Bacterial small subunit ribosomal RNA", at positions 338 to 795 of the family's 1533-position model. The record is from RNAcentral.